RNAcentral lists this ribosomal RNA (427 nucleotides) under uncultured bacterium. RNAcentral's name for it is "bacterial SSU rRNA". It matches the Rfam family "Bacterial small subunit ribosomal RNA", at positions 355 to 774 of the family's 1533-position model. The record is from RNAcentral.
UAGGGAAUAUUGGACAAUGGGGGCAACCCUGAUCCAGCCAUGCCGCGUGAGUGAAGAAGGCCCUCGGGUUGUAAAGCUCUUUUGUCCGGAAAGAAAAGCUUCGGGUUAAUACCCCGGGGUUCUGACGGUACCGGAAGAAUAAGCACCGGCUAACUUCGUGCCAGCAGCCGCGGUAAUACGAAGGGUGCAAGCGUUACUCGGAAUUACUGGGCGUAAAGCGUGCGUAGGUGGUUGUUUAAGUCUGAUGUGAAAGCCCUGGGCUCAACCUGGGAAUGGCAUUGGAAACUGGGCAGCUAGAGUGCGGUAGAGGGUAGUGGAAUUCCCGGUGUAGCAGUGAAAUGCGUAGAGAUCGGGAGGAACAUCUGUGGCGAAGGCGACUGCCCGGACCAGCACUGACACUGAGGCACGAAAGCGUGGGGAGCAAACA